This 292-nucleotide ribosomal RNA is filed under the name uncultured bacterium. RNAcentral describes it as "partial 16S ribosomal RNA". It matches the Rfam family "Bacterial small subunit ribosomal RNA", at positions 505 to 796 of the family's 1533-position model. The record is from RNAcentral.
GUGUCAGCAGCCGCGGUAAUACAGAGGUCCCGAGCGUUGUUCGGAUUCACUGGGCGUAAAGGGUGCGUAGGUGGUGGGGUAAGUCUCGUGUGAAAGCUCGCAGCUUAACUGCGAAAAGUCACGGGAUACUAUCCGGCUAGAGGCUUGGAGGGGGGACUGGAAUACUUGGUGUAGCAGUGAAAUGCGUAGAUAUCAAGUGGAACACCAGUGGCGAAGGCGAGUCCCUGGACAAGACCUGACACUGAGGCACGAAAGCCAGGGGAGCAAACAGGAUUAGAUACCCUGGUAGUCC